Molecule: ribosomal RNA, 133 nt
Organism: Pteropus vampyrus (large flying fox)
Lineage: Eukaryota; Metazoa; Chordata; Mammalia; Chiroptera; Pteropodidae
Source: Ensembl
GUCUAUGGCCAUCCCACCCUAAACAUGCCCAAUCUCGUCUGAUUUCAGAAGCUAAGCAGGGUCGGGCCGGUUAGUACUUGGAUGGUUAGUACUUGGAUGGGAGACCACCUAGGAAGACCGGGUGCUGUACGUG